AUAAGUUAUUAAGGGCACACAGGGAAUGCCUUGGAUUUGAGAGGCUAUGAAAGACGUGAUACGCUGCGAUAAGCUACGGGGAGAAGCAAAUAUUUAUUGAUCCGUAGAUUUCUGAAUGGGGCAACCCGUUAUGUUGAAGACAUAACAUCUGUCGUAAGAUAGAAGCUAACCUGGAGAACUGAAACAUCUAAGUACCCAGAGGAAGAGAAAACAAUAGUGAUUUUGAGAGUAGCGGCGAGCGAAAUCGAAGUAGCCCAAACCAGAGUUGUUUCGGCAACUUUGGGGUUGUAGGACUACAAUGUGGACUUAUGUAUUAUAAUUGAAUAGAGUUGGAAAGCUCAACCGUAGAGGGUGAUAGUCCCGUAAAUGAAAUAGUGCAUAUACCUAGUAGUAUCCUGAGUAGGGCGGGACAUGUGAAAUCCUGUCUGAAUCUAGCAGAACCAUCUGUUAAGGCUAAAUACUCCUCAAAUACCGAUAGUGAACCAGUACCGUGAGGGAAAGGUGAAAAGAACCCUGAAUAAGGGAGUGAAAAAGAUCCUGAAACUGUGUGCCUACAAGCGGUCGGAGCCUACGGGUGACGGCGUGCCUUUUGCAUAAUGAUCCUACGAGUUACUCCUCAUUAGCGAGAUUAAGAUUUUAAGAAUCGUAGUCGAAGCGAAAGCAAGUCUGAAUAGGGCGAUUUAGUUAAUGGGGGUAGACGCGAAACCUUGUGAUCUAUCCAUGGUCAGGUUGAAGUUCCGGUAACACGGAAUGGAGGACCGAACUGAUAUACGUUGAAAAGUGUUCAGAUGAACUGUGGAUAGGGGUGAAAGGCCAAUCAAACUAGGAAAUAGCUCGUACUCCCCGAAAUGCAUUUAGGUGCAGCGUUCAGGUAGAGUCUUAUAGAGGUAGAGCUACUGAUUGGGCUAGGGGGCUUCACCGCCUACCAAACCCAGACAAACUCCGAAUGCUAUAAGAUAUACUGAGCAGUGAGGGCAUGGGUGCUAAGGUCCAUGUCCGAGAGGGAAAGAACCCAGACCAUCGGCUAAGGUCCCAAAAUAUACGCUAAGUUGAACUAACGUGGUUCGAUUGCAUAGACAGCUAGGAUGUUGGCUUGGAAGCAGCCAUUCAUUUAAAGAGUGCGUAACAGCUCACUAGUCGAGCGAUCGAGCGUGGAUAAUAAUCGGGCAUAAGCGUAUUACCGAAGCUGUGGAUUUACAACAAUAGUUGUGAGUGGUAGGGGAGCAUUCUAUGUGCGUUGAAUGUGUACUUUGAGGUAUGCUGGAGCGCAUAGAAAAGCAAAUGUAGGAAUGAGUAACGAUAAAGCAGGCGAGAAACCUGCUCACCGAUAGACUAAGGUUUCCUGAGCGACGCUAAUCGGCUCAGGGUUAGUCGGGACCUAACGCGAACCCGAGAGGGGUAGUGGAUGGAUAAUGGGUUAAUAUUCCCAUACUAAUUGUAACUGCGAUGGGGUGACGGAGUGAUGAAAGAUCUGCGAACUGACGGAAUAGUUCGUUAAAGCGUGUAGCUAUAUUUGGUGUAGGCAAAUCCGCACCGAAUGGCCAAUGUGAUAGUACCACAAGUCUACGGAUGAGUGGAUAAUGAUCCUAAGUGCUUCCAAGAAAAACCUCUAAGCUUCAGGUUACAAUUACUCGUACCGCAAACCGACACAGGUAGUCAAGGAGAGAAUCCUAAGGUGCUCGAGUGAAUCAUGGCUAAGGAACUAGGCAAAAUCGUCUCGUAACUUCGGGAGAAGAGACGCCUCUCAUCUGAGAGGCCGCAGUGAAUAGGCCCAGGCGACUGUUUAUCAAAAACACAUGGCUUUGCGAAAACGAAAGUUGAAGUAUAAGGCCUGACACCUGCCCGGUGCCGGAAGGUUAAGAGGAGAUGUCAUCUUCGGAGAAGCAUUGAAUUGAAGCCCCGGUAAACGGCGGCCGUAACUAUAACGGUCCUAAGGUAGCGAAAUUCCUUGUCGGGUAAGUUCCGACCUGCACGAAUGGUGCAACGAUCUGGGCACUGUCUCAGCCAUGAGCUCGGUGAAAUUGUAGUAUCGGUGAAGAUGCCGAUUACCCGCAACGGGACGGAAAGACCCCGUGAACCUUUACUAUAGCUUCACAUUGACAUUGGACACUUUAUGUGUAGGAUAGGUGGGAGACUUUGAUGCUGCGUCGCUAGGCGUAGAGUAGUCGUUGUUGAAAUACCACCCUUAAAUUGUUUGAUGUCUAACCUGUCCUUGAUGGGGACAUUGUGUGGUGGGUAGUUUGACUGGGGUGGUCGCCUCCAAAAGAGUAACGGAGGCUCCUAAAGGUACCCUCAACACGGUUGGUAAUCGUGUGUAGAGUGUAAUGGCAUAAGGGUGCUUGACUGAGAGACCUACAAGUCGAUCAGGUAGGAAACUAGAGCAUAGUGAUCCGGUGGUUCCGCAUGGAAGGGCCAUCGCUCAAAGGAUAAAAGGUACUCCGGGGAUAACAGGCUUAUCACUCCCAAGAGCUCAUAUCGACGGAGUGGUUUGGCACCUCGAUGUCGGCUCGUCACAUCCUGGGGCUGGAGAAGGUCCCAAGGGUUGGGCUGUUCGCCCAUUAAAGUGGCACGCGAGCUGGGUUCAGAACGUCGUGAGACAGUUCGGUCCCUAUCUGUUGUGGGCGUUAGAUUUUUGAGAGGACCUUCCUCUAGUACGAGAGGACCGGGGAGGACAUACCUCUGGUGUACCUGUUGUGGCGCCAGCUGCAUCGCAGGGUAGCUACGUAUGGAUGAGAUAAGCGCUGAAAGCAUCUAAGCACGAAACUCACCUCAAGAUGAGAAAUCUUUUAAGGGCCGUGGAAGACUACCACGUUGAUAGGCUACAGGUGUAAAGACAGUAAUGUCAAAGCCGAGUAGUACUAAUAACCCGUAAACUUAUAGU
This 2881-nucleotide ribosomal RNA is filed under the name Brumimicrobium oceani. RNAcentral's name for it is "bacterial LSU rRNA". It matches the Rfam family "Bacterial large subunit ribosomal RNA". Lineage: Bacteria; Pseudomonadati; Bacteroidota; Flavobacteriia; Flavobacteriales; Crocinitomicaceae. The record is from RNAcentral.